GCUACUGUCCGCAUAAUGUUGACGACAAAAACAUUCCGCAGCGUUCAGCCUCUGAGGAAGAUGCUGCAGCCUGCGGUUGGUUGUGCCGAGCAACGCAGGGGUAAGGUGUUGACAGUGGAGAACAUGAACCCCCACGUCAAGCAGAUGGAAUAUGCAGUCAGGGGGCCUAUUGUCAUCAGGGCAGGAGAGAUAGAGGAGGAAUUGAAAAGGGGUGUUAAGAAGCCAUUUACAGAAGUCAUUCGAGCCAAUAUUGGAGACUGUCAUGCUACAGGCCAGAAGCCACUAACAUUCAUCAGACAGGUGGUUGCGCUAUGUACAGACCCAGACAAGUUGAUGAAGGAUCCCACGUACCCCUCAGAUGCUAAAGAGAGGGCUCAAAGAAUUUUGGAUGGCUGUGGAGGAAAAAGUUUGGGUGCAUACAGUGAUAGCUCUGGUGUGAGAGUCAUCCGAGAGGAUAUUGCAAAGUACAUCGCUGAAAGAGAUGGACACCCCUCAGACCCGAAUGAUAUCUUCCUGAGCACUGGAGCUAGUGAUAGUAUUAAGACGAUAAUGAAGAUGUUGAUGACCGCUAAGGAUGGAAAGGAGAGAGCUGGUAUCAUGAUCCCCAUCCCACAAUAUCCACUGUACACCGCCACCAUUGCUGAAUAUAACGCUUACCCAAUUGGAUACUUUUUGGACGAGUCAAACACUUGGGCUUUGAACAUCCCAGAGCUGAAACGGGCCAUUAAAGAAGCCCGUUCAGAAUGCAAGCCCAGGGGCAUUGUGAUCAUCAACCCAGGAAACCCUACAGGUCAAGUUCUGUCGAGAGACAAUAUUGAGGCAGUCAUUAGAUUUGCUAAGGAGGAGGGUCUCUUCUUAAUGGCUGAUGAGGUGUACCAGCACAACAUCUAUGCGGAGGGCUCUGCCUUCCACUCAUUCAAGAAGGUGCUGAUGGAGAUGGGACCUGAGUACAGAGGCAUGGAGCUGGCCUCCUUCAUGUCAUCCUCCAAGGGAUAUAUGGGAGAGUGUGGGUUCAGGGGAGGCUACUGUGAGGUGAUCAACCUUGACCCUGCUGUCAAGGCCAUUCAGAUCAAGUCCAUCUCAGCCAAGCUCUGCUCAUCUGUGUCUGGACAGGCCGUGAUGGACGUUGUUUGUAAUCCUCCAAAGAGUGGGGAGCCGUCCUAUGAACUUUUCAUGAAGGAGAAGAAUAUGGUGCUGGGUCAGCUGAAAACAAAGGCAACGAUGGUGACCAAGACGUUCAACUCCAUCGAGGGCAUAUCAUGUAAUGUGGUACAGGGGUCCAUGUACGCCUUCCCAAACAUAAAACUGCCAAAGAAAGCUAUCAAGGCUGCUGAGGCAGCUGGAAUGAAGCCCGAUGUAUUCUACUGCACCCAGCUCCUUGAGGAGACGGGUAUCUGCGUUGUGCCUGGCUCAGGGUUCGGUCAGAGAGAAGGCACUUACCACUUCAGGUUAGUGGAUCAGGGAAGCAGUUAGUACACUGAACGCCACUUACCACUUCAAGAGAGUGGAUCAGGGAAGCAGUUAGUACACUGAACACCACUUACAACUUCAGUUGAGUGGAUCAGGGAAGCAGUCAGUACACUGAACACCACUUACCACUUCAGGACAACCAUUUUACCCCCUGUUGAAAAGCUUCAAGUGUUUAUGGACAAGUUCAAAGUUUUCCACAAGAACUUUGUACAGAAGUACCAGUAAACAUCACUAAUUAGUUUUCUUGUUUGUAAAAAGAACAUAUAUUUUGUUGUUGAGAGACCAGUAUAUAUUAUUAUAAAUGUUGAACGCAAAUUAAUGGUUUGGCAGAUUUUUAGAAUAUAAUUAAAAUUCCUUCUAAAUAUGGCGGAUUUAGGCAUCGCCCCAGUAUGCAUCUAUAAAGUUCUUUGAACCAUUAUAUUUUCAAAAUUCAUUUGGUGCAGCUGUGUUUAUUUUGGAUUGUUUAAUUUUUGUGCCAUGCACUGUAUAAUAAUUUUGCUUGAAUUUACAAGAUUCCUAAUUAAAAUACUUAGUAUUAAAAAUAAUACUAUAACUGGAUGCAACCAAACUAUUUAGAUUUUGGUAUCUGUAUCUGUUAUAACUUAUUACUGAUGUGUAAUUUUAUUUCGUGAUUUAAAUUGGCAUUUAUAAGUGCUGUUUAUGUGGAAUGAAAUUGUUAUUGGAAUUGUGAAUAGUAGAUAGCUAGUUCUUUAAUAUUUUUUUAUCACACCUACAAACAUUUUGCUACUUUUAUCAUGUAUUUUGACACUUUAACAGUAUUAGUAUUUGUGUAAGUCUUUCUUAGUUCUGCUUUUAUACUAAGUAAACUAGUUAAAUAGCUUUUAUUAUGCUGCCAGGUAUAUUGAAAAGUAUUUAGAUUUUUAUGCCCCCGAAGGAGGGCAUAUAGUGAUCGGACUGUCUGUCCUUCUGUCUGUCUGUUCGUCACACUUUGCAUUUAGGUUUUGAAAAAUGCUCAUAACUUCUAUGUCGCUUCAGAUAGCAAUUUCAUAUUUGGCAUGCAUGUGUAUAUGGACAAGACUUUCCAUACGCACACAAAUUUUGACCCCUGUGACCUUGACCUUGAACUUAAGAGUCCGCGUUUAGGUUUCGAAAUCUGCAUUUAGGUUUCGAAAAAAGCUCAUAACUUCUAUCAAGCGUUUAUAGGGGGCAUAAGUCAUCCUAUGGUGACAGCUCUUGUUGCAUUCUGCCUGGAUGCAAUCAGUCAAGAUUUGACAGCUCUUGUUGCAUUCUGCCUGGAUGCAAUCAGUCAAGAUUUUCUGAGUAAUAUUUAUUGUUAAAUUAACAAUUUGCAUGCUGGGUAAUUUGUCUUCUGCUAAAAUGUCGUCUGCAGAAUUUCUAAAAUUAGCAUUUUCUUCAAUUUUUUUCAAAGAAUACUAUCAGAAUAGCAAACAGUUUGGAUCCUGAUGAGACGCCACGUUUUGUGGCGUCUCAUCUGGAUCCAAACUGUUUGCAAAGGCCUUUAAAAUUCAGCUCCAGCGCUUUAAGGGUUAAAUAAAUCCAUGCGCCUUUCUACUGUCAGGAAUAAGUACUAUUUAACCAUAACCGGUAGUUGAUCUUAGUAUGAAAAAAACAACACAAGAUUUUUUAAAACAAUAAACCUGUUUCACUUAUUUUAUUUUAAUGUCUACAAAUGUCAAUAUAUAAAAAUUCUAUAAAUAAGUGAAUCUCAUAAAAUGUUUUAGUGUUCAAGGUUAUGUUAUACAUGAAUCAUUAAACAGAAAUUGCAUAUGUAAAGAAGAUGGAAGUUGCUGAGUAUAUGCUUUGGUAAAUUGGAAAGAUGGUGCUUUUGUAAUUGAAAAUUUAUUUUGUCAAUGAAUUCAGCUAAAUUAAGCAUUUAUAUUUGACAUUUAAGCCGCAUCAGUACGGGUUUUUGAUUAACUACAUGUAUGAUCAUGUUUUGAGAAACAACUACUAGUUUUUACCUUGAAUUGUUAAAGGUUUUGGAUAAUAAAUUUACAUUAAAUGAUUA
Molecule: RNA transcript, 3460 nt
Organism: Dreissena polymorpha
Lineage: Eukaryota; Metazoa; Mollusca; Bivalvia; Myida; Dreissenidae
Gene name: alanine aminotransferase 1-like
Exons: 14
Source: RefSeq, a predicted model, not a curated record